RNAcentral lists this ribosomal RNA (347 nucleotides) under Aproceros leucopoda. RNAcentral describes it as "partial large subunit ribosomal RNA". The record is from RNAcentral. Lineage: Eukaryota; Metazoa; Arthropoda; Insecta; Hymenoptera; Argidae.
AUAAUAAUUAGUCUUUUAAUUGAAGGCUGGAAUGAAUGAUUGAACGAGAUAUAUUCUGUCUCAAUAAUAUUAAUAUUUUAAUUUAAUUUUUAAGUAAAAAAGCUUAAAUUUUAUUAGAGGACGAGAAGACCCUAUAGAACUUUAUAAUAAAUUUUUAAUAGUAUUUAAUUUUAUUUUAUUGAUAAUUUAUUAUUUUAUUGGGGCGAUAGGAAAAUUUAAUAAACUUUUUUAAAUGAAUUACAAUAAUAAUUGAAUUUUUGAUCCUAUAUUAUAGAUUAUUAGAUUAAGUUACCUUAGGGAUAACAGCGUUAUUUUUUUUUAGAGUUCUUAUUGACAAAAAAGAUUGC